AAAGAAUUAAAAUAGAGCAAUAUUUCUCUGAGAGCUGAGUAACCAUAAUGGAUAUUGCUGGUCAUUUGCAACCUCAUCUGAUUAUACUCCUGUGACUAAAGGUAAAGUCACAAUGGUUCCAACAGACCAUAGGUUGCCCAUGAGAGACAGAGAACUAAUGGUGGCUUAACCUGAGGGUCAUCACACAUCAGGCAGAUGCAAUCCAUCUGUUCAUGUGGAAAAUUCUCAAGACAGAAAGCGGUGCCAAUAAACUUUCAAUCAUAACAGGACAUCUUCUCUUUUCACAACCCAACACGUUCACUUGAAAAAUGAAUUUGCUA
Non-coding RNA from Chiloscyllium plagiosum (whitespotted bambooshark), 320 nucleotides. Lineage: Eukaryota; Metazoa; Chordata; Chondrichthyes; Orectolobiformes; Hemiscylliidae. The record is from RefSeq and is a predicted model, not a curated record.